GACGAACGCUGGCGGCGUGCUUAACACAUGCAAGUCGAACGGAAAGGCCCUGCUUUUGUGGGGUGCUCGAGUGGCGAACGGGUGAGUAACACGUGAGUAACCUGCCCUUGACUUUGGGAUAACUUCAGGAAACUGGGGCUAAUACCGGAUAGGAGCUCCUGCUGCAUGGUGGGGGUUGGAAAGUUUCGGCGGUUGGGGAUGGACUCGCGGCUUAUCAGCUUGUUGGUGGGGUAGUGGCUUACCAAGGCUUUGACGGGUAGCCGGCCUGAGAGGGUGACCGGCCACAUUGGGAGUGAGAUACGGCCGAGACUCCUACGGGAGGCAGCAGUGGGGAAUAUUGCACAAUGGGCGGAAGCCUGAUGCAGCAACGCCGCGUGCGGGAUGAAGGCCUUCGGGUUGUAAACCGCUUUCGCCUGUGACGAAGCGUGAGUGACGGUAAUGGGUAAAGAAGCACCGGCUAACUACGU
This 467-nucleotide ribosomal RNA is filed under the name uncultured bacterium. RNAcentral's name for it is "partial 16S ribosomal RNA". It matches the Rfam family "Bacterial small subunit ribosomal RNA", at positions 28 to 506 of the family's 1533-position model. The record is from RNAcentral.